RNAcentral lists this RNase P RNA (362 nucleotides) under Gammaproteobacteria bacterium. RNAcentral describes it as "RNase P RNA component class A". It matches the Rfam family "Bacterial RNase P class A". From Rfam's summary of the family: Ribonuclease P (RNase P) is a ubiquitous endoribonuclease, found in archaea, bacteria and eukarya as well as chloroplasts and mitochondria. Lineage: Bacteria; Pseudomonadati; Pseudomonadota; Gammaproteobacteria. The record is from RNAcentral.
CGAGUCAGUUAGGCAAUCGCUCACCUUAAGGUGGGAGGAAAGUCCGGGCUCCAUGGGUAAAGUGCCAGGUAACACCUGGGCGGUGCGAGCCGACGGAAAGUGCCACAGAAAAUAAACCGCCAGCUGCAAAGCAUGGUAAGGGUGAAAAGGUGCGGUAAGAGCGCACCGCAUAAUUGGUAACAAUUUAUGGCAUGGUAAACCCCGCUUGGAGCAAGACCAAAUAGGAACUCAUAAGUUAAUUCAAUUUAACUUAAAGCGUUACCCGCGCUGAGUUUGGGUAGGUUGCUUGAGGCAUUUGGUGACAAAUGCCCCAGAUAAAUGAUUGUCCACGACAGAACCCGGCUUAUCGACUGACUCAUUUU